CCUACGGGAGGCAGCAGUGGGGGAUAUUGGACAAUGGGGGGAACCCUGAUCCAGCGACGCCGCGUGAGUGAAGACGUAUUUCGGUAUGGAAAGCUCUUUCAGCAGGGAAGAAAGCAAUGACGGUACCUGACCAAGAAGCCCCGGCUAACUACGUGCCAGCAGCCGCGGGAAUACGGAGGGGGCAAGCGUUAUCCGGAAUUACGGGGUGUAAAGGGGGCGUAGACGGCGGUGCAAGUCUGGAGUGAAAGGCGGGGGCCCAACCCCCGGACUGCUCUGGAAACUGUAUGGCUGGAGUGCGGGAGAGGUAAGCGGAAUGCGUGGUGUAGCGGUGAAAUGCAUAGAUAUUAGGCAGAACACCAGUGGCGAAGGCAGCUUACUGGACUGUAACUGACGUUGAGGCUCGAAAGCGUGGGUAGCGAACAGGAUUAGAUACCCCAGUAGUC
RNAcentral lists this ribosomal RNA (443 nucleotides) under uncultured bacterium. RNAcentral describes it as "partial 16S ribosomal RNA". It matches the Rfam family "Bacterial small subunit ribosomal RNA", at positions 338 to 795 of the family's 1533-position model. The record is from RNAcentral.